RNAcentral lists this long non-coding RNA (279 nucleotides) under Panax ginseng (ginseng). RNAcentral describes it as "long non-coding RNA (PGIN_LNC001596)". The record is from RNAcentral. Lineage: Eukaryota; Viridiplantae; Streptophyta; Magnoliopsida; Apiales; Araliaceae.
UUAACUCUAAUAAGAGUGUUUUAUUCAAGCUUAUGGUUAAUCAUUGCUGAUUGCCAUGAAAAUUGUACUCUGUACAUCUUGCAUGUAUAAGUCAGGUAUGAAAGGCUGAUCACCUUCAUUACCAGUUGGUCCAGAAAUGUUUGUUCAUGUUUAAAACUUGUUCAGUCAAAAGUUUGUUCCUGCUAGUUCUCAAUUAUAUUGAUGAAUUAUAGCCAGCUUAUUAUUCAUACUCUUCAAUCAUGAUAUAUCCUUAUAUUGUUGUAUUUAAACUUGCUGGGC